This 451-nucleotide ribosomal RNA is filed under the name uncultured bacterium. RNAcentral's name for it is "bacterial SSU rRNA". It matches the Rfam family "Bacterial small subunit ribosomal RNA", at positions 28 to 490 of the family's 1533-position model. The record is from RNAcentral.
GAUAAACGCUGGCGGCGUGCUUAACACAUGCAAGUCGAACGGACUGAUGAGAGAGCUUGCUCUUUCUGAAAGUUAGUGGCGGACGGGUGAGUAACGCGUGGGAAACCUGCCUUACACUGGGGGAUAACAGAUGGAAACGCCUGUUAAUACCGCAUAAGCGCACGGUGCUGCAUGGCACCGUGUGAAAAACUCCGGUGGUGUAAGAUGGUCCCGCGUCUGAUUAGCUAGUUGGUGAGUAACGGCCCACCAAGGCGACGAUCAGUAGCCGGCUGAGAGGGCGUACGGCCACAUUGGGACUGAGACACGGCCCAAAACUCCUACGGGAGCAGCAGUGGGGAAUAUUGCACAAUGGAGGAAACUCUGAUGCAGCGACGCCGCGUGAGUGAAGAAGUAUCUCGGUAUGUAAAACUCUAUCAGCAGGGAAGAUAAAUGACGGUACCUGACUAAGAAG